GAUAAUUAAUGUGAAUUGCAGAAUUCAGUGAAUCAUCGAGUCUUUGAACGCACAUUGCGCCCCCUGGUAUUCCGGGGGGCAUGCCUGUCCGAGCGUCAUUGCUGCCCUCAAGCACGGCUUGUGUGUUGGGCUUCCGUCCCUGGCAACGGGGACGGGCCCAAAAGGCAGUGGCGGCACCAUGUCUGGUCCUCGAGCGUAUGGGGCUUUGUCACCCGCUCCCGUAGGUCCAGCUGGCAGCUAGCCUCGCAACCAAUCUUUUUAACCAGGUUGACCUCGGAUCAGGUAGGGAUACCCGCUGAACUUAAGC
Molecule: unclassified non-coding RNA, 307 nt
Filed under: plant metagenome
Description: partial contains 5.8S ribosomal RNA, internal transcribed spacer 2, and large subunit ribosomal RNA
Rfam family: 5.8S ribosomal RNA (bases 1-98)
Source: RNAcentral